AGUAAAUGAUGCCUGAACAAAAGCGACCCAUUGGUGGUGGGUUACAUCCCCUUCUGCUGAAAUGAAUGCCAUGCCAAUCAUAUUUGUGUAUGGCAAGAAGAGAAACAGACAGCAUCUAGCUGAGUCAGCCUUGUCUGUGUUUUGCCUUCAAGUAUCCUUAAUUACGGAUGGGGAGCUGAAUUUGCACAGACCUCAAAUAUUCAGUGACUUUUGGAUCUCAUUAUGGACAUACAUACACAUAUGCCCCCUAUUGGUUCUUGCGUUUCAGUUUAAUGAAGACAGACCAGCUAUUAAAC
Molecule: long non-coding RNA, 296 nt
Filed under: Apteryx owenii (little spotted kiwi)
Lineage: Eukaryota; Metazoa; Chordata; Aves; Apterygiformes; Apterygidae
Description: lncRNA (ENSAOWG00000001141.1)
Source: RNAcentral